RNAcentral lists this ribosomal RNA (235 nucleotides) under uncultured bacterium. Its description in RNAcentral is "partial 16S ribosomal RNA". It matches the Rfam family "Bacterial small subunit ribosomal RNA", at positions 102 to 334 of the family's 1533-position model. The record is from RNAcentral.
CGACGGGUGAGUAACACGUAUCCAACCUGCCGUCUACUCUUGGACAGCCUUCUGAAAGGAAGAUUAAUACAAGAUGGCAUCAUGAGUCCGCAUGUUCACAUGAAUUAAAGGUAUUCCGGUAGACGAUGGGGAUGCGUUCCAUUAGAUAGUAGGCGGGGUAACGGCCCACCUAGUCUUCGAUGGAUAGGGGUUCUGAGAGGAAGGUCCCCCACAUUGGAACUGAGACACGGUCCAA